This is a long non-coding RNA of Xenopus tropicalis (tropical clawed frog), 697 nucleotides long. RefSeq lists it as uncharacterized. The record is from RefSeq and is a predicted model, not a curated record. NCBI's taxonomy places the organism in Eukaryota, Metazoa, Chordata, Amphibia, Anura, Pipidae. The transcript is spliced from 2 exons.
UAUCAGCACUAUCUGGGACAUAGCAAGCUAAUACCCAGUUGGGAGGGAAACUAGGCUCUGGCAGACUUCUGGAUGGUACUGCAAUAACUUUGCUGAACGUCAUAGUAACCUAUCCAUUGUCAUGCUAACAACUUCAGGAAAAGAACCUAGCAAUGUAUUGAAGACUUCUAAUAGGAUUGGCUGAUCUCAAACCAAACCAGGAGAAAGAAUGAACAGUGAUACUAAUGAAAGAAGAUCCUGCUAGGACCCAGACCUACACAGAGAAACACACACAUAGAACAAAAAGGAAUAUGGAGAUCGCCAGACUCAGGCCACUAACUAAAUGUUGAGUACUGCUAACUUCCACCUCCCUCGCCCAUCCGCAAAAAUAUUAAGUGUGUCGGGCCACACACCAUUGCCACCAGACACUCACGGCCUGGGAGGGCAUACGGAUGGGGGGACUAGCACUUGCCAUUGGAUGCCAUUAUGACAAACCAGAAAGGCACAUGGGAUCAAAUAUACCAAACAGCAUUGUCCUACCUUAUCAAGCAGAACAGAGCCGAAGAUCCCAGGAUAUGAGGUAAUGUGCAGGGGAAAAGAUCUCAUGGACCAAAAAACCCCAGUCCCUAGGUGCCAUUUCCGGUCACCUAAUGCUUUCCCAAGGCUAAAAAGCAAAAAUGUUGCUUCCAAUGGAGCAAGGAAAGCAGAAGGAAAAAAA